Molecule: ribosomal RNA, 478 nt
Filed under: uncultured bacterium
Lineage: Bacteria
Description: partial 16S ribosomal RNA
Rfam family: Bacterial small subunit ribosomal RNA
Source: RNAcentral
GACGAACGCUGGCGGCGUGCUUAACACAUGCAAGUCGAACGGUAAGGCCCUUCGGGGUACACGAGUGGCGAACGGGUGAGUAACACGUGGGUGAUCUGCCCUGCACUUCGGGAUAAGCCUGGGAAACUGGAUCUAAUACUGGAUAGGACCCUGGGAUGCAUGUCCUGGGGUGGAAAGCUUUUGCGGUGUGGGAUGGGCCCGCGGCCUAUCAGCUGGUUGGUGGGGUGAUGGCCUACGAAGGCGACGACGGGUAGCCGGCCUGGGGGGGUGACCGGCCACACUGGGACUGAGAUACGGCCCAGACUCCUACGGGAGGCAGCAGUGGGGAAUAUUGCACAAUGGGCGCAAGCCUGAUGCAGCGACGCCGCGUGAGGGAUGACGGCCUUCGGGUUGUAAACCUCUUUCAGCACCGACGAAGCGAAAGUGACGGUAGGUGCAGAAGAAGGACCGGCCAACUACGUGCCAGCCGCCGCCGUAA